RNAcentral lists this ribosomal RNA (433 nucleotides) under uncultured bacterium. Its description in RNAcentral is "partial 16S ribosomal RNA". It matches the Rfam family "Bacterial small subunit ribosomal RNA", at positions 29 to 507 of the family's 1533-position model. The record is from RNAcentral.
AACGAACGCUGGCGGCAUGCCUAACACAUGCAAGUCGAACGAGACCAUCGGAACUAGUGGCGCACGAGUGCGUAACGCGGGGGAACCUGCCCUUAGGUUCGGAAUAACUCUCCGAAAGGGGUGCUAAUACCGGAUAAUGUAUUCGAAUAAAAGAUUUGUCGUCUUUGGGUGGGCCGGAGUUGGUUUAGCUAGUUGCUAGGGUAAAAGCCUACCAAGGCGACGAUACAUAGCUGGUCUGAGAGAAUGAUCAGCCACACUGGGACUGAGACACGGCCCAGACUCUUACGGGAGGCAGCAGUGGGGAAUAUUGGACAAUGGGCGAAAGCCUGAACCAGCAAUGCCGCGUGAGUGAUGAAGGCCUUAGAGUUGUAAAGCUCUUUUACCCGGGAUGAUAAUGACAGUACCGGGAGAAUAAGCUCCGGCUAACUCCGUG